Molecule: ribosomal RNA, 253 nt
Filed under: uncultured bacterium
Lineage: Bacteria
Description: partial 16S ribosomal RNA
Rfam family: Bacterial small subunit ribosomal RNA
Source: RNAcentral
UACGUAGGGCGCAAGCGUUAUCCGGAAUUAUUGGGCGUAAAGAGCUCGUAGGCGGUUUGUCGCGUCUGCCGUGAAAGUCCGGGGCUCAACUCCGGAUCUGCGGUGGGUACGGGCAGACUAGAGUGAUGUAGGGGAGACUGGAAUUCCUGGUGUAGCGGUGAAAUGCGCAGAUAUCAGGAGGAACACCGAUGGCGAAGGCAGGUCUCUGGGCAUUAACUGACGCUGAGGAGCGAAAGCAUGGGGAACGAACAGG